ACGAACGCUGGCGGCGUGCUUAACACCUGCAAGUCGCACGGUGAAGCGCUUUCCUUUUUGGUUGGUGUGGAUGAGUGGCGAACGGGUGAGUAACACGUGAGUAACCUGCCCCCUUCUUCUGGAUAACCGCAUGAAAGUGUGGCUAAUACGGGAUAUUCUGCGCCUGCUGCAUGGUGGGUGUGGGAAAGAUUGUGCCUUUGGGUGUUUUCGGUGGGGGAUGGGCUCGCGGCCUAUCAGCUUGUUGGUGGGGUGAUGGCCUACCAAGGCGGUGACGGGUAGCCGGACUGAGAGGGUGGACGGUCACACUGGGACUGAGACACGGCCCAGACUCCUACGGGAGGCAGCAGUGGGGAAGAUUGCACAAGGGGCGCAAGCCUGAUGCAGCGACGCCGCGUGAGGGAUGGAGGCCUUCGGGUUGUGAACCUCUUUCGCCAGUGAAGCAGGCCUGCUCCUUGUGGGUGGGUUGACGGUAGCUGGAUAAGAAGCGCCGGCUAACUACGUG
RNAcentral lists this ribosomal RNA (502 nucleotides) under uncultured bacterium. RNAcentral's name for it is "partial 16S ribosomal RNA". It matches the Rfam family "Bacterial small subunit ribosomal RNA", at positions 29 to 507 of the family's 1533-position model. The record is from RNAcentral.